AUUGAACGCUGGCGGCAGGCCUAACACAUGCAAGUCGAACGCGUGGCGGACGGGUGAGUAAUGUCUGGGAAACUGCCCGAUGGAGGGGGAUAACUACUGGACACGGUGGCUAAUACCGCAUACCAUCGGAUGUGCCCAGAUGGGAUUAGCUAGUCGGUGGGGUACAGGCUCACCUAGGCGACGAUCCCUAGCUGGUCUGAGAGGAUGAACAGCCACACUGGAACUGAGACACGGUCCAGACUCCUACGGUAGGCAGCAGUGGGGAAUAUUGCACAAUGGGCGCAAGCCUGAUGCAGCCAUGCCGCGUGUAUGAAGAAGGCCUUCGGGUUGUAAAGUACUUUCAGCGAGGAGGCGUUACUCGCAGAAGAAGCACCGGCUAACUCCGUGCCAGCAGCCGCGGUAAUUC
RNAcentral lists this ribosomal RNA (406 nucleotides) under uncultured bacterium. RNAcentral describes it as "partial 16S ribosomal RNA". It matches the Rfam family "Bacterial small subunit ribosomal RNA", at positions 30 to 526 of the family's 1533-position model. The record is from RNAcentral.